CAAGAGUUUUGUAGUAGAUCUACAGGUGAAAUUUUGUAGGUUUAUGGUUAUAGUUGUGUUUAAUAUGUGUCAUGAAUUUGAACUUGAUCUAAUGGUUAAAUUGAAGGAUAUUGAGGUUUAAAAGGGUCAAGGUCUCAAAAAGUAGAAUUUUAGGUCUAGUGGGGGUUUUUGAGAUUUCUUGCAAUCUAUUGGUUGGAUUGGAGUGAAACUUGCGUGAAAAGAUAUUAGACUUGUUUUUAUACUCGUAUAAGAAUUUUGAGAUCAAUCGAAAGGUGCAAAGGAGAGAUAUUGGCUCUGGAAGAUUGGCAUUAAGAU
RNAcentral lists this long non-coding RNA (315 nucleotides) under Physcomitrium patens. Its description in RNAcentral is "long non-coding RNA (PPAT_LNC006098)". Lineage: Eukaryota; Viridiplantae; Streptophyta; Bryopsida; Funariales; Funariaceae. The record is from RNAcentral.